GCUCACCGCAACCUCCGCCUUCCGGGUUCAAGCGAUUCUCCUGCCUUAACCUCCCAAGUAGCUAGGACUACAGGCAACCGACGCCACGUUCGGCUAAUUUUUGUAUUUUUAGUAGAGACGGGGUUUCACCAUGUUGGCCAGGCUGAUCUCAAACUCCUGACCUCCAGUGAUUCACCCUCCUCGGCCUCCCAAAGUGCUGGGAUUACAGGCAUGAGCCACCUCGCCCAGCCUAAACACAAUCUUAAUAUAAGAAGGCGAUAAAGCAAGAGAAGGGUUAGAGGGGAGCCUGGGGUUCCAGUGCAAUGACUAUAUACAAAAUUUAUACACAACUACAUACAGAGUGUGAAAACAGUACCCGUGUGUGUGUGUCUGUGUGUGUGUGUGUAUGUAUGUACGCUAGGAUUCUGAUUGCCAGUAUAACCAGCCAAUUUGAGCUAGUUUAAGCAUAAAAUAAUAAUUCAUUAUUACAGUACAGGUUUUUCUCAUGUAACCAAAAGUCAGAAAUGUAGCUGAGUCCAAGGGAGGGACUUGAACCAAAAUAGAAAACCUAAGAGGCAAUGUAAUCUCUGCUUAUCUGCUUAAUUUUUCUAUUGCUUUACCCAAUUCUCUGUUUUAUCUAGUGGAAUCUAUUACUUUUGGUUUUAUAGUUCUAGACAACUUGAGGACCUGAAUGACGACCUCUUCCUUCCCAAAUCCAAAUUCCCAAGGAAAGAAAUAAGGAAUUUCAUUGACCCAGCUUGGAUUAGGUGACCAUCACCAAGAAACUGACCACUAAUUUGGUUCUCAAAAGACUGAUAGGAAAUAGUGGUCAGGAGUACUUCAGUCAUUGGAAGAGAUAUUUCAUAAUCUAAAGUUUCUGGUGUUCUCCUGUAAAUGUUAUCAUCAGAUUGUCCCUGAGGACUAAAUAGUUUCUGGGAGUAACUUAUAGAAAUGAAUUCAGCCAUGGCCAAGAGGUCAGAGUCAAAAAUAGUCUAGAGCAGUAGUCACCAUAGAACUUUCUGGGGUCAUGGAAAUGUUCUGAAUCUGUGCGGCCCAAUUCAGUAGCACUAGCCCUGUGUGGCUACUGUGCACUUGAAAUACGGCUAGGGCAGCUGAGGAAGAUAAUUUCCAAUUUUAUUUUACUUUAAUUGACUCAUGUUUAAGUAUGUGGCUAGUGGCUACCAUAUUGGAAAGCAUAGGUCUAGCUAGAGGGUACUCGCUCCCAUGGACAGGGCACUUCUUAGAUAAGGGAUAAUUGUGAGGUAGCACUAAGCAAAAAAAAAAAAAAAAAAAAAAAAAAAAAAAACAACGUGAAUUAUCAGCUAUUAGAAGGAAUAAUAUAUGUUUAUGAGGUACUUUUAAAACGGGGCAAAAACCUGGAGCAUUGUCUAAAUUAAAACUAAUUCCCACCCAAUUGGAAAAAAGAAAACUUAGGAAGCAAACAUUCCAGAAUGCUUAGUAAAUUAGGGUAUAGAGACAAAUGAAUUAUUAUACUACCAAUAAAAUGAUUUUUAAAAGAUUGUGGGAAACUAUUUGGCAGUUCCUCAAAAAACUAAGCAUAGAAUUGCCAUAUGAUCUAGCAAGUUCACGUAUGUGUAUGUAGCCAAAAGAACUGAAAGCAGAGACUUGAACAUGCAUGUUCAGAACAGUGUUACUCACAAUCGUUAAAAGGUGGCAGCAACCCAAAUGUCCAUUGAUGGAUGAAUGGAUAAACAAAAUGUGGUACAAUGGAAUAUUCAGCCUUAAAAAAUGAAGGAAAUUCAAGGCCCAGCACGGUGGCUCACGCCUGUAAUCUCAACACUGUGGGAGGCCAAGACAGGCAGAUCACCCGAGGUCAGGAGUUCGAGACCAGCCUGGCCAACAUGGUGAAACCCCAUCGCUACUAAAAAUACAAAAAUUAGCUAGGCGUGGUGGUGCGCUCCUGUAAUCCCAGCUACUCGGGAGGCUGAGGCAAGAGAAUUGCUUGAACCUGGGAGGCGGAGGUUGCAGUGAGUCAAGAUCAUGCCAUUGCACUCCAGCCUGGGUGACAAGAGCAAAACUCCGUCUCAAAAAAAAAAGAAGGAAAUUCUGAUACAUGCUAUAACACAGUUUUACCUUGAAGACAUUGUGCUAAGAGAAAAAAAGCCAGUUACAAAAGAACAAGUACUGUAUGAUUCCGCUUAUAUAAGCUACCUAGAAUAGUCAAACUCAGAGAGACAGAAAGCAGAAUGGUAGUUUCCAGGGGUUGGGGGAGAGAGAAACCAGGAGUUGUCAUUUAAUAGGUACAGAACUUCAGGUUGGGAAAAUGAAAAUUUCUGGAGGUGGCUGGUGGUAACGGUUGCAUGACAGUGUGAACGUACUUAAUGCCAUAGGGCUGUACACUUAAAAUUGGUUAAAAAUAAGUUUUAUAUGUAUUUAAUCACAAUUUUUCAAAUUUAAAGAAAUGGUUAGAAUAGGACUAGGAAUAUAAAAGAAAUGUAUAUGAGAGACUAUUAAGUACAAAGGCGUAGAAAACAAACUGUUAAUGUAUUUUAGCUCUAAAAGUAUGUAUGUAAGGCCUGAAAAUGAUAUGAAAAAUAAAAAUUGUAUUAGUAUACUAGGAUUAUGAGAUUUUUAAAAAUAUUUUGUCCCUUUCUAAUAAUUCAGUAAUUUCCUAUCUCAUUUUUUUUAAUGGGCACCAUAUAAUUCACAAAGUCGCCAAACUUGAUACCCAAACCAGGCAUCCUGAGAGAAGCAUAAGAUAUUAAAAGUAAACAUUUUACUUUUACCAACUUCAUUUAAAAUAAGUAGGAAUUUUGGGUUUGAUAAGUAUUUUGUUGCCUGAUGAAGAGGGAGUUCUUCCUGGGAUUACAGGCCUCAGCCACUGCACCCACCCAAUGAAUCUUUUCUUACUUCUAACACAUGCAUCUAACACCCACUCUAACACCCACUGUAACACAUGCACAUCUAACACCCACUCUACAAACACGAUUUCUUCCCAGGCUUUCCAAAUCAACACUACUACAAGUUGCUUGUGAGAAGGUGAUAUUUUGCAUACAUUAAAGUCUCAUGCUGUUUUUGUGAGCUAAUAGAUUAUGCUUAGUAUAAAAAUUUGGGGCUGGGCACACACAGUGGCUCACACCUGUAAUUGCAUUGUUUUGGGAGGUCCAGGCG
Molecule: long non-coding RNA, 3111 nt
Filed under: Homo sapiens (human)
Lineage: Eukaryota; Metazoa; Chordata; Mammalia; Primates; Hominidae
Description: HSALNT0115439
Source: RNAcentral